Molecule: long non-coding RNA, 5101 nt
Filed under: Homo sapiens (human)
Lineage: Eukaryota; Metazoa; Chordata; Mammalia; Primates; Hominidae
Description: HSALNT0280570
Rfam family: Metazoan signal recognition particle RNA (bases 4284-4400)
Source: RNAcentral
CCUCUCCACAACCCCAACCCCACUCCUCCUUCUCUUCCUUUGAGUCUCAGCUUAAAUGUCAUUUUCCCAGGGAGACCUUUGUCAACCACCUGAUAUAAGUCAGUUGACUGCCCUCCCUAUUACUUUCUAGGCUAGUUUCAUACUGCACUUUCUUCCUAGUGCUUAUCACACUGCGUGAAUUUUCUUUGUUUAUUUACUUUUGUCAGUAUUCCUUGCUAGAAACAGGUACUCAAGACACCCCUCCAUCUGGCAGGCUGGAAAUUGAGCAGGGAGAAUGCAGGAGACUGUUUCGGGUGGCCGAGAUGAUGGUCUGGCUGCUCUUUCUACCCUGGCAUGGGCAAAGCCCAAGUCCUACAGGUGGGGAAUGCGUCAGCUUGGGCUCAUGUACUUAUGGUUCUUUUUUUCCACUGGGGGUGGGGAGGACCUACAAGAUGUCAGAGGAAGUUGACCAGAGUCACCAGAGUGACCAGAGUCACCUAUGCAAGUUCCCUUCACUGCCAAAUGAAUAAAAGGAAAAAGAAGAUUGCAGCCAGGCACGGUGGUUUAUGCCUGUAAUCUCAGCACUUUGGGAGGCCAAGGUGGGUGGAUCACCUGAAGUCAGGAAUUCGAGACCAGCCUGGCUGGCCAACAUGGUGAAACCCCGUCUCUACCAAAAAUACAAAAAAAAAAAAAAAAAAAUGAGCCAGGCGUGGUGGCAUGAGCCUGUACUCCUAGCUACUCAGAAGGCUGAGGCGGAAGAAUCGCUUGGGCCCAGGAGGCAGAGGUUGCAGUGAGCCGAGAUUGCACCACCGCACUCCAGCCUAGGCCAGAGAGAGACUCCGUCUCAAAAACAGAAAAAAAAAAAAAAAAGAAGAUUGCUAACAUCUUUAGGAGACAUGUAGAAGGUUUGCUGUGGACCUGCUUUCAACUCAUCAAAUACAAAGGAGUCCUAUUGCUGGAUCAUAGUGUAUAGUGUCUUUAUUACUGCAGUGCAAGCACUUUCCAAGUGUCAUGUUUGUUAUUUACCCACUGUCCAAAGCAAGUCACGUGGCCAAGCUCAAGAGUCAGAGUGGAGAGAACUACCCAACGCAGGGAUAUAGGGAGGGGGAUGAUGGUACCCAUUUUGAAGAGAUCUACCCAAGGCAGGGAUAUAGGGAGGGGAAUGAUGGUACCCAUUUUGAAAACAAUCUAUUGCAGUAAUCAUAGACCAUAGUAAUUGCUCAGAAUCAGGAUGAUUUAGGCUAGGAAAUAAAUAAAAAUGGCCAGCCCAUGGCUUCUGCGUCCCUCUAAGAUAAAGUUCAAAGUCCUUAGCUGUGAUACAUGACUACCUGCUAUAUGUUAUCUCACUAUAAUGCCUUCUCCCCACCUCAAAACUAUAGAGAAUGGGCACACAGAGCUUUUUUAAUGGGGAAUGCACCUUGCUAUUUCACACCCUGUAUCAUUGCUCCACACCCUGUAUCAUUGCUCCUGCUGGUUCAACUGGCAUAUAAUCCCCCACCCUGAGUCCCACAGACUAACCCACCAUUGAUCUUUGAACAUCUUUAGAGACACAACAGGAUUUACCUCCUCAAAGAAGCCUACCCUCUGCUUUGGAUAGAAUUGAACAUUCAUUUCUUUGGAAGUCAUAGAGCCACAUGCAGUUUUUUUGUUUUUGUUUUUUGAGACAGGGUCUUGCUCUGUCACCCAGGCUGGAGUGCAGUGGCGUGAUCACAGCUCACUGCAGUCUCGACCUCCUAGGCUCAAGGGAUCCUCCCUCCACAGCCUCCCGAGUAGCUGGGACCACAGGCACGCACCACCAUGCCUGGCUAAAUUUUUAUUUUUAACAUCUUUCUAUGUUGCCCAGGCUGGUCUCGAACUCCUGGGCUCAAGCAAUCCUCCCGCCUCGACCUCCCAAGGUUCUAGGAUUACAGGUGUGAGCCACGGUGCUGGCCCAGAUUUUUAAUUUUACACCUAAAUAACUUUAGUGCUCAUUUGUUAAUGUGCCCGUCUCCCUUUUGGUAGACUCUAAGAUCCUCAAAGGUAGGGACUAUAUCUUUCUUAUAUUCAUAUUUUCCUUCCUUCCUUCCUUCUUUCGUAGAUGGAAUCUUGCUCUGUCAUCCAGGCUAGAGUGCAGUAGCGUGAUCUCGGGUCACUGCAACCUCCGCCUCCCGGGUUCAAGCAAUUCUCCUGCCUCGGCCUCCUGAGUAGCUGGGAUUAUAGGCGCCCACCACCAUUCCUGGUUAAUUUUUGUAGAGACGGGGUUUCACCAUGUUGGUCAGGCUGGUCUCGAACUCCGGACCUCAGGUGAUCCGCCCACCUCGACCUCCCAAAGUGCUGGGAUUACAGGCGUGAGCCACUACGCCCGGCCAGUAUUUUCAUGCAUGGAUAGUUGUUCAAAUUGAUGCUUUGGCAGAGGUGGUGGUGGGGCAGUCAUUGGAGAGUCCUAUUCCACCAUCCUGCUCCGACUUCCCCCAUUUUAUUUGCUUUGUGAAACAACAAGCUGGAAAUACUGAAAACUUCAUAGCAAACUUUGUGAGAAAGAAACCUACUACUACUUAACACUGAAAACAGAAAUAUAUAGCUUUGGGCCAGGCACAGUGGCUCACGCCUGUAAUCCUAGCAGUUUGGGAGGCUGAGGUGGAUGGAUCACCUGAGGUCAGGAGUUCAAAACCAGCCUUGGCCAAUAUGGUGAAACCCUGUCUCUACUAAAAAUACAACAAUUAGCUGGGCCGUAGUGGUAAGUGCCUGUAAUCCCAGCUACUCGGGAGGCUGAGUCAGGAGAAUCGCUUGAGCCUGGGAGGCGGAGGUUGCAGUGAGCCGAGAUCGCACCACUGCACUCUAGCCUGGGCAACAGAGUGAGACUCUGUCUCAGAAAAAAAAAAAAAAAAAUUUUGCAGCCCUAACAGAAACAAAACUCAGCUUGACAUAUUAAAUGUAGAAAUCAUUACCUAGGUAGAAAAUUUUAAACUUUGUCAAGUUUCUUUAGAAUGGACACCCAUUAAGAGUUAUAACAACAUUUAAAUUCAGAAAAUCAAUCAUCUCAAAAAAUUUUAACAGCUCAAAUAUUUUUCAUAAUUAUGUUUGUGAAAGAAAUGAAAACGAAAAGCCCAGGAAGCAGGGUGAUACUAUUGCUAGUUAUAAUUUCUAUUUUUAACACCCUAAAUUUCUUAGUUCUCAUUUCUUCUUGCAUUUCAGCUUGUGGUUGGCUUUGCAAAGCUAACAUUUUCUUUGGUGACAGUUUUUAAAACGUAAGCCAGAAGACUUUGGUCAGGAGCUUCCCCAUUCCAUAGAACAUCUGAGAACUUAAAAAAAAUGGUAUUUAAAUUGCACUAAGAAGAUAAAGUAGUGUGAUAUUUUGAUAGGUGCUUAUUUUUGUUUUGUUUGCUUUUAACUUCUGGACCUAUCCCAAUGUUUUCCAGGAUCCUCAGAACAUAUGGGUGGUCUUUUCUUUUAAAAAUAUAUAUAAACCCGGCCGAGUGUGGUGGCCCAUGCCUGUAAUCAGGCUGAGGUGGGAGGAUCACUUGAGCCCAGGAAUUUGAGACCAUUCUGGGCAGCAUAGUGGGACCCUGUCUCUACAAAAAAUAAAAAAUUAGCCCAACAUGGUGGCACAUGCCUGUGGUCCCAGCUACUUGGGAGGCUGAGGCAGGAGGAUCACUUGAGCCUGGGAGUUUGAGGCUGCACUGAGCUAUGAUCAUGCUACUGCACUCCAGCCUGAGUGACGGAGCAAGAUACUGUCUCCAAGAAAAAAAAAGUAGGGGGAGGGCGGUUUUUUUUUUAUUACAGUCUCUUUCAGCAAGAAAAUAAAAGCUUUCCCAGAAGCAUCCUAGGAGAAUUCUUCCCUUCAUUUUGUUGGCCAGUGUUGGGUAAUGUGGCCAUUAUUAGAUGCAGGGGGUCUGGGAAAGUGGAUAAGAGGAGCAUAAUAGCUAAUGUCAGAUUGUUCCCUAAAUAAAAUGGGAGUUGUAUCAAUAAACAGAAGGUUUGUGGAGGAGGUGGGGAUGAGAUGGCAGUUAGGCAGGCAAAGUACAUCACCUGCCAUGAUGCAAUAUUUGUGUAGCUAAAAACUUGUAAUGCGGUUAGAUAGAAUGAAUAUGUUCUAGUGUUCCAUAGCACAGCAGGGUGACUGUAGUUAAUGAUAUAGUGUGGAUACUUGUUCCCACACAAAUCUCAUGUGGAAUUGUAAUCCCCAAUGCUGGAAGUGGGGCCAGUGGGAGGUGAUUGGAUCAUGGGGGCAGAUCCCUCAUGAAUGGCUUAGGCCAUCCCCUUCAUGAUACGUGAGCUCUUGCUCUGAGUUCACAUGAGAUGCUUUGUUUAAAAGCAUGUGGCUGGCCGGGUGUGGUGGCUCACGCCUGUAAUCCCAGCACUUUGGGAGGCUGAGGUGGGUGGAUUGCCUGAGCUCAGGAGUUCGAGACUAGCCUGGGUAACAUGGUGAAACCCCAUCUCUACUAAAAUACAAAAAAUUAGCCGGGUAUAGUGGCAUGUGCCUGUAGUCUCAGCCGCUUGGGAGGCUGAGGCAGGAGAAUUGUUUGAACCCGGGAGACGGAGGUUGCAGUGAGCCCAAAUCGCACCACUGCACUCCAGCCUCGGUGACAGGGGGAGACUCCUUUUCCAAAGAAAGAAAAAAGCAUGUGGCAACUCUCUCCCAACUCUCUCUUGCUUGCUCCUGCUUUUGCCAUGUGACAUGCUUGUUCCCCCUUCACCGUCUGCCAUGAUUGAAAGCUCCCUGAGGUUUCACUGGAAGCCAAGCAGAUGUCAGCACCAUGCUUCCUGCAGAACCAUGAGCCAAUUAAACCUCUUUUCCUAGUCUCAGGUAUUUCUUUAUAGCAAUGCAAGGACAGCCUAAUACAGUUAACAGUAAUUUAUUUUAUACUUCAAAAUAGCUAGAAGAGAUUUGAAGUGUUCCCAAUACAAAGAAAUGACAAAUAUUUGAGGUGAUAGAUACCCUGAUUUGAUCAUUACACGUUGUAUGUAUGUAUCAAAUACCUAAAUACCCUGAUUUGAUCAUUACAUGUUGUAUGCAUGUAUCAAAUACCUAAAUACCCUGAUAUGAUCAUUACACAUUGUAUGCAUGUAUCAGAAUAUCACAUGGACCCAUCCCAUAAAUAAGUGCAAUUAUUGUGUAUCAAUAAAAAUGUUUUGGUUGGGU